GACUGAGGAGUAAGAGCAGCGUGAAAGAGGGCAGAAGAGCGGCGAAUGAAAUUUGUUAUUGUCUACGUUCCUCCCCCCUCACGUGCAGUUUGUCAUCAGUGACAGUGGAAUUAUCCCUCUCAACUAUAAUCUCAACCUCCACUGCUAAUCUCAGGCUCGCCCGAGCACCACUCCUCCUCCGGAUGACGUCCCCAUAAGCAAAUUAGCACGCAGCCUAAAGCAGAGGCACUCAGCUGGCAGCACCAUCAGGGGAAACAAGAGGAUGACACGUUCCCCAACAGACUCCUAAUUGCCAACUGGUUUUGCGAUUUCUGACAGUUUAGGCUCGGCCAAGUUUGACAAAAAAAAAAAACUAAACUAAACUAAACAAAGAAACGACAAGAAGUUUCCGAUCAGCAGGAUGGAUGCCAGAGAACAGGCGCUGAACCUCCUCGGCAGAAUCUGGGUCAAGCUUCAAGGUCUGCCCAACGCCAACCCCAUAGAGCUGGGAGCUUUCUUCGUCCUGCUAACUUUUAUUCUUGUAGUCCUGCUCAUCACAGUGGUGACCUGUGCAAGCUUCUGCUGCGGUUGCUGCAGCUGCUGCUGUCGCAAGAGAAAACUAAAGGGUUCCGACCUUUGAGCAAAAACAGACACAACUGCAAGCUCUCCACACGGCGAGUCCUGAUCGUGUUUUAGAAACACACACACACUCUACAGGGUGCAUGCUGUGCUGUGCAGCACUAAAGAACCUCAGCCCUUGGACAACAAAACACUUGCCAAACACAGUGAAGGAUGUCCUGCAACGCUGCCAAACACACCAGUUUAAGUCAACAGGCUUUCAGGAGAGUCUACAUUCCUUGGAGCAUCACUGCACUCGACGGGGCAACAACGAUCCCUGAGGACAGGGCAGGGGCAACUCCAGCUGUGUGUGAAUCAGGCAGAAACGUCUUGGACCAUACAAGACUGAACAUGUGUAUAAAACUAACUUUAGGCAAACAGUGAGAAAUGACUGGGAAAGCCCGAUUGGAUUUUUUUUUUCCCUCAGAGCUUUCUAAACAUGAUGAUGUGUCACUCUAAAGGAAUGAGAACUGGCAGUCAGACUUCUGAGUUAGGCAAGAGCCUCAAGCAGGAAGCAGCUUUCAAAGGAUGGUAAGAGAGGAUGUCUGCCCUCUGCUGUCCAGAAACAGAAAUGCACUCUUUAUCUAAAACUGCACAUUACAUACUGUGGAACAGGUGAAGGUGUUAUGUUAUGAUGUAAUGCUUUAAGCCUGCACUUAUUGUCUGUUAUGCUUUGAUCUGUAUGUAAAUAAUAAUAAAAAUAAUAAUAAUAAC
Long non-coding RNA from Oreochromis aureus, 1311 nucleotides. RefSeq lists it as uncharacterized. The record is from RefSeq and is a predicted model, not a curated record. Lineage: Eukaryota; Metazoa; Chordata; Actinopteri; Cichliformes; Cichlidae. The transcript has 3 exons.